Molecule: long non-coding RNA, 754 nt
Filed under: Homo sapiens (human)
Lineage: Eukaryota; Metazoa; Chordata; Mammalia; Primates; Hominidae
Description: long intergenic non-protein coding RNA 408
Source: RNAcentral
AGGAAGUGGGAGCCACAUACCCCGAGCUGGCGGCUUGAGCCUGUGGUAUCUAGGCUCACCUCACUGCGGUUGGUGGAGGUGAUGGAGGUUGCAGCUUGGCCAGCAUGGUAGAAAGGUGGCAGGGUAGGCACGUCUGGCUUUUACCACCCAGUUGCUUCGAGCCAGGAGAUGGAGGAGUCAUCUGUUGCACGCUGGAGGCUGGAGCCUGCAGAUGGCAUGGUUCUGUGGCUCACCUCGCUGCAGUUGGUGGCAGAGACAGAGACUGCAGCUUGACCAGAGUGGUGGAGUGGUAGGAGAGUGUCUGCGGGGGCCUCCUGGAGGUGAUAUGUAUCUCAAGAGCACUCCACAACAAAGAUUCUGCCUGCAAUCCUCCACUUCAAGGUCUGUUCCAGGAAACCUGUGUAACACAGUUAUGCAUAGAGUGGUCUUAGGAAGCUGACUCUAACAUGAAAAUUUAGAGUUGGAUCUUUUGCUGACAUAUUGAAUAUUCAUAAGAGCAUAUGAUACAUUUGUCUAUCAUAAACAUGUCAUUUCAAAAAACCCUCAAAGUUGCCUUGUAGAACAUAAUUUUAAAACUAGUGUGUAGGAAUAUUUCAUAUCAGUUAUUCAGUCUUCUUAAUAUCUGAACCGAAAUUAAUCUUCCAUUCUGCUUUUAUUUAUAAAUAAUGAUUUAUUGUCAGAUUCAAUAAUUUAUAUUUUCAUUUAUUCUAAGGUAGGAAAUACCAGCAUAAAAAUAAAUUAUUUGAAACAAAUC